RNAcentral lists this ribosomal RNA (313 nucleotides) under uncultured eukaryote. RNAcentral's name for it is "partial 18S ribosomal RNA". It matches the Rfam family "Eukaryotic small subunit ribosomal RNA", at positions 1470 to 1796 of the family's 1831-position model. The record is from RNAcentral.
CCCUUAGAUGUUCUGGGCUGCACGCGCGCUACACUGAUGCGCUCAACGAGUUUACGACCUUGCCCGGAAGGGUUGGGUAAUCUUUUUAAAACGCAUCGUGAUGGGGAUAGAUUAUUGCAAUUAUUAAUCUUUAACGAGGAAUUCCUAGUAAGCGCGAGUCAUCAGCUCGUGCUGAUUACGUCCCUGCCCUUUGUACACACCGCCCGUCGCUCCUACCGAUUGAGUGAGCCGAUGAAACUGCCGGAUGUGGACUAUUCAUAGUCUGCAGAAGAUAUUUGAAUCGUAGCGCUUAGAGGAAGGAGAAGUCGUAACA